GACAAGUACCUGAGACGUCGCCUGAGGAAGGGAUCUCGCUGGUUCGUUGGAUCCAAUUUAGACAGAAGAUGCCAAGCGUGAUUCUGGAACUCUGCGUACAGUCGUUGCGACUCCAGCUGCAAUCAACAUAUUAAUUCGUGCUCUGGUGGUGAGAGACUCUGGGGAUUACGUGGAUUUAAUUAUGCCGGAAGUGAUGCAUUACAAGAUCUUUCGUUCAAUCUCGCAGUCAUCAGAUGAAUCAUUCGGUAAUUUGUAUUCUGUGGGUUUCGAUGAGACUAAUUGUAACGAUUUAUAGGGAGCGGGUGAGGGAUUGAACCAUUUUUUAUUCUACUUCCUGAAUCAUCAAACAGAAAUCGCCAGUUCCCGUGUGUUCUUUCCUUAAAUUACGAGUUAUCAAUCACGAGAAUUCUCCAAUACCCAGUCGUGUACAUUUUGGAAGUCUAGAAAAAUGUUCACCCAAAUAUUUUCCCCGAAUACCAAAAUUAUGUAGAGAUUAAUUCAGGUUCCCUUCCUACCCAAUCCUGUCCAACUAUUUGCGAUGUAUGAAGAUCUGGAACGUUCCAUAAAUCUUCCACUUCCUAUGCAAAAAAUCCGUCGGUACUAUCAAUAUCAGAGGAACCAAGGGACCACCUUCUUCGUAAAUCUCUAAUAAUAUCAUCUCAAUCAAUCAAGUAACCACCAGCUACACCUGCCCUUGACCGUUCUCACAUGAUUCAUAAGACUGCAGCAUUUAUGGCAGUAUGAUGUGAGAAAUCGUAAUGCAGCCGAUCCCCUUAUUAACAAAUCAACAAACAUUGAUAAUUCUCGGGAGGAGGCUGAUGAAAAAAGGAGGGGACCUGAGUGACAAAGUCUCGUAUGUUAGAAAAAAGGACAGAACAAGGCGCGCCCACCUCGAGGACGGGCUGGCUCUCACGAUGAUCUGGAACGCCGCAGUAGGUUAGUCUGGCCAAUGAUGGGGACGAUUCUUCGGCGAUACCGGACAUUGCGGAUCCCUUGGGGCUGGUAGCACUUGACGGUGGUGACAACACGUGACAGAGAGAGUUAGACCGAUGUGGAGGGAACGGAGACAAUGCUAAUAACGGUGAAAGAUAACGAGUGACGGUCCCACGAGUGGCAACACAUCGUGUCCCAUCAAAUUCCCAGCUGGGUUCAAGACCACUGAUGAAGAAAAGUUAAAUGGAGAUUUUUCAGCUAAUAUAGUAGACAAUCGUGGUGUUGGAAUGGAACAAUGGUCAUGGGGAUGUAAUUAGGGGCCUCCAGUCAGGUGGGGGGGAGUUGUCGUGUUUUUAGAAUAAUUUGUUGAACGAUUUUACUUUCAUACAGUCUGUUUUUAACUAUUGUUUUUAAGUAUUUGUUUUCUUGAAGAUAUUUGAGAGCCUAGUCGAUGUUACAAUGAGCGUGAGCCCGGGAAUUACCGGAGUUGUUUUAUCUAGACUUUUUGAAGACAAGAAGCACACAAUUGAAUAAUUGAAAUUUAAUGAUAGUUUAUUAUGUAAUCAGAGGAUGAAAGUAUCAUCUGACGAAUGUUGCUUUAUAAUCUGGGCUCAAGGCGAGGAUUAUAAUCUUCUUCUUCAAAUGAAUUUUUUUGUCGGUGUCUGGACUGUUUUAUGUUAUUGGGUCAGAAAACACCGGGUCUAGUGACAUAAAUAGUCUAAUGGUGAUGAUCGGUAAUGGCUGGACGAUUGGAUUGAUUCGUUAGCCCGACUAUUGCAAUCGAUUUAUAACCCAAGGAACCCCAUAUUUAUCGCAGAAAUUUCCCUCACGAACCACCGUCUGCUACCAUACGUCACUCCAUUGCCGGUGAUAGCGUUGGAGGUGUCGAAUGAGAUAACGCUAUUCCAACAGCACGUCCACUGGGAUAUUAAGAACAUCAACUAGUAGAACAUGGUGGCCUUCUCCAAGGUGCAGGUGUUGUUCAUACCGUGGGAAAAUAGAGCGACGACCUCGAACGCGGAAUAUUUAUAAUUAAGUAUGCGAAACUAGACUGUAACACUUGGAUAUCAGUGACGGUAAGAAUUCUUAGGAAUCAGUCGGAAUGAAUAGCUAAAUAGAUUUUAAAAAAUUAGUCGACUAGACCCAUUCCUCAAGAACAUUGGUUCCUUUGGACUUGAUCCUACAGUUUUCCUAUGGCAUGAAGAUGUAAUUAAAACAUUACAUAAUGACCGCCAUUGCUGGAGCUACAGCAGACUUUUAUCCUCCAUUUAAUUAGCUGCAAUGGAAUUGGCAAUUAAUAAAAAUUCCGUUUAUCAUUAGGACAUUAAAUUAAUCAUCUCCGUUUGCCCAUUUUAUAAUUGAAUUCUUCCAAAAGUCCAAUUGAGUCAAUUUUGUUCAAUUAAUCUAUUUAAAAACAGAAAAAUUGAGAUGAAUUCCGUAAUGAUUGUCAUCCGGUUGAUUUCUUCUUACAUAAAAACGAAUAUUAUAUCAUCCCAAAGUCAUGCAUAAACUAAAAGAUAACAUCUUAAACCAAUCAAGAUAACGUAUUAAAUAAAUACUCUUCGUUAAGUGGGUAAUGAGAGAAGUUAUUAAUGAAAUCGUGUUAGAGUUAUCUCGAAAAAACCUGCGGUGAGCGAUUCUCGACGACUCACGUCCUUCCUGGCUUAUGAAUC
Long non-coding RNA from Diachasmimorpha longicaudata, 2606 nucleotides. RefSeq lists it as uncharacterized. The record is from RefSeq and is a predicted model, not a curated record. Lineage: Eukaryota; Metazoa; Arthropoda; Insecta; Hymenoptera; Braconidae. The transcript has 3 exons.